AGGACGAACGCUGGCGGCGUGCCUCAUACAUGCAAGUGGAGCGACGAACCAGGCUUCGGCCUGGGGCAAAGCCGCGAACGGGUGAGUAACACGUGGGUUACCUGCCCCGAUGAUUGGGACAACCCGAGGAAACUCGGGCUAAUACCAAAUGUGCUCCUGGCCGUGAUGGCCAGGUGGAAAGGAAGCUUCGGCCUCCGCAUCGGGAUGGGCCCGCGGCCCAUUAGCUAGUUGGUGGGGUAAUGGCCUACCAAGGCGACGAUGGGUAGCUGGUCUGAGAGGACGAUCAGCCACACUGGGAUUGAGAACGGCCCAGACUCCUACGGGGGGCAGCAGUGAGGAAUUUUCGUCAAUGGGGGAAACCCUGAACGAGCAACGCCGCGUGCAGGAAGACACUUUUCGGAGCGUAAACUGCUUUUCUCGGGGACGAGUAAGGACGGUACCCGAGGAAUCAGCCCCGGCUAACUACGUGCCAGCAGCCGC
This 480-nucleotide ribosomal RNA is filed under the name uncultured bacterium. RNAcentral's name for it is "SSU rRNA". It matches the Rfam family "Bacterial small subunit ribosomal RNA", at positions 26 to 518 of the family's 1533-position model. The record is from RNAcentral.